CCUACGGGAGGCAGCAGUGAGGAAUUUUCCGCAAUGGGCGAAAGCCUGACGGAGCAAUACCGCGUGAGGGAUGAAGGAUUUUGGUCUGUAAACCUCUUUUCUCAAGAAAGAAGUUCUGACGGUACUUGAGGAAUAAGCAUCGGCUAACUCCGUGCCAGCAGCCGCGGUAAUACGGGGGAUGCAAGCGUUAUCCGGAAUGAUUGGGCGUAAAGCGCCUGUAGGUUGUUUAUUAAGUCCGUUGUUAAAGCCUAGGGCUCAACCCUAGAAAAGCAAUGGAAACUAGUAGACUAGAGUAUGGCAGGGGUAGAGGGAAUUUCUAGUGUAGCGGUGAAAUGCGUAGAUAUUAGAAAGAACACCGGUGGCGAAAGCGCUCUACUGGACCAUUACUGACACUCAGAGGCGAAAGCUAGGGUAGCAAAAGGGAUUAGAUACCCCUGUAGUCCUAGCCGUAAACGAUGGAUACUAGAUGUUGUGCAUUAUGUACAGUAUCGUAGCUAACGCGUUAAGUAUCCGCCUGGGGAGUACGCUCGCAAGGGUGAAACUCAAGGAAUUGACGGCNGNGAGNGCGAGACGACGACGAGGAGAG
Molecule: ribosomal RNA, 586 nt
Filed under: uncultured bacterium
Lineage: Bacteria
Description: bacterial SSU rRNA
Rfam family: Bacterial small subunit ribosomal RNA
Source: RNAcentral